RNAcentral lists this ribosomal RNA (360 nucleotides) under Triticum aestivum (bread wheat). RNAcentral describes it as "partial small subunit ribosomal RNA". Lineage: Eukaryota; Viridiplantae; Streptophyta; Magnoliopsida; Poales; Poaceae. The record is from RNAcentral.
UUCGAUGAAGGCUUUGAUGGAAAUGUUGGUCAGCAGCUGGUUGCCUCAACAGAUGAUGAAAAUGAUGGUCAACAGCCGGUUGCAUUAGAUGAUGAUUUUGACGAGGUUCCAAAUGAUGAUGGUCAACAGCCGCAUGAUUUUGACGAUGAACCAAGAUAUCCUCCAAAUAAUGAAUCAAGUGAGGCUCCAAAUGGUGAUCGAAGUGAGGCUCCAAAUGAUGAUCCAAGUGAGGCUCCAAAUGGUGACCAACCUUCUGUUGUUGUGAGUUCUGCUAGGUAUGUAAAUCUUGCAAAUACUACUGUACAUUUAUCACUUGACAUGAUCUCAUUACCCUUUAUGUUUUGCACAACUCUAUGGUAG